CCUACGGGGGACUGCAGUCGAGAAUCAUUCACAAUGGGGGAAACCCUGAUGGUGCGACGCCGCGUGGGGGAAUGAAGGUCUUCGGAUUGUAAACCCCUGUCAUGUGGGAGCAAAUUAAAAAGAUAGUACCACAAGAGGAAGAGACGGCUAACUCUGUGCCAGCAGCCGCGGUAAUACAGAGGUCUCAAGCGUUGUUCGGAAUCACUGGGCGUAAAGCGUGCGUAGGCUGUUUCGUAAGUCGUGUGUGAAAGGCGCGGGCUCAACCCGCGGACGGCACAUGAUACUGCGAGACUAGAGUAAGGGAGGGGGAACCGGAAUUCUCGGUGUAGCAGUGAAAUGCGUAGAUAUCGAGAGGAACACUCGUGGCGAAGGCGGGUUCCUGGACAUUAACUGACGCUGAGGCACGAAGGCCAGGGGAGCGAAAGGGAUUAGAUACCCUUGUAGUC
Molecule: ribosomal RNA, 446 nt
Filed under: uncultured bacterium
Lineage: Bacteria
Description: partial 16S ribosomal RNA
Rfam family: Bacterial small subunit ribosomal RNA
Source: RNAcentral